GGGGGGGGGGGGGGGGGGGGGGGGUGCGGGCGGGGCGGGCGGGCGGGCGAGAAGCUUGCGUCUCUGAUGUUAGCGGCGGACGGGUGAGUAACACGUGGAUAACCUACCUAUAAGACUGGGAUAACUUCGGGAAACCGUAGCUAAUACCGGAUAAUAUUUUGAACCGCAUGGUUCAAAAGUGAAAGACGGUCUUGCUGUCACUUAUAGAUGGAUCCGCGCUGCAUUAGCUAGUUGGUAAGGUAACGGCUUACCAAGGCAACGAUGCAUAGCCGACCUGAGAGGGUGAUCGGCCACACUGGAACUGAGACACGGUCCAGACUCCUACGGGAGGCAGCAGUAGGGAAUCUUCCGCAAUGGGCGAAAGCCUGACGGAGCAACGCCGCGUGAGUGAUGAAGGUCUUCGGAUCGUAAAACUCUGUUAUUAGGGAAGAACAUAUGUGUAAGUAACUGUGCACAUCUUGACGGUACCUAAUCAGAAAGCCACGGCUAACUACGUG
This 497-nucleotide ribosomal RNA is filed under the name uncultured bacterium. Its description in RNAcentral is "partial 16S ribosomal RNA". It matches the Rfam family "Bacterial small subunit ribosomal RNA", at positions 35 to 507 of the family's 1533-position model. The record is from RNAcentral.